UACGUAGGGGGCAAGCGUUGUCCGGAAUCAUUGGGCGUAAAGCGCGUGUAGGCGGCCCGAUUAGUCCGCUGUGAAAGUCCAGGGCUCAACCCUGGAAUGCCGGUGGAUACUGUCGGGCUAGAGUCCGGAAGGGGCGAGUGGAAUUCCUGGUGUAGCGGUGAAAUGCGCAGAUAUCAGGAGGAACACCAAUGGCGAAGGCAGCUCGCUGGGACGUGACUGACGCUGAGACGCGAAAGCGUGGGGAGCAAACAGG
This 253-nucleotide ribosomal RNA is filed under the name uncultured bacterium. RNAcentral's name for it is "partial 16S ribosomal RNA". It matches the Rfam family "Bacterial small subunit ribosomal RNA", at positions 524 to 776 of the family's 1533-position model. The record is from RNAcentral.